GUGACUGCGUACCUUUUGUAUAAUGGGUCAGCGACUUAUAUUCUGUAGCAAGGUUAACCGUAUAGGGGAGCCGCAGGGAAACCGAGUCUUAACCGGGCGUUAAGUUGCAGGGUAUAGACCCGAAACCCGGUGAUCUAGCCAUGGGCAGGUUGAAGGUUGGGUAACACUAACUGGAGGACCGAACCGACUAAUGUUGAAAAAUUAGCGGAUGACCUGUGGCUGGGGGUGAAAGGCCAAUCAAACCGGGAGAUAGCUGGUUCUCCCCGAAAGCUAUUUAGGUAGCGCCUCGUGAAYUCAUCUCCGGGGGUAGAGCACUGUUUCGGCUAGGGGGCCAUCCCGGCUUACCAACCCGAUGCAAACUGCGAAUACCGGAGAAUGUUAUCACGGGAGACACACGGCGGGUGCUAACGUCCGUCGUGAAGAGGGAAACAACCCAGACCGCCAGCUAAGGUCCCAAAGUCAUGGUUAAGUGGGAAACGAUGUGGGAAGGCCCAGACAGCCAGGAUGUUGGCUUAGAAGCAGCCAUCAUUUAAAGAAAGCGUAAUAGCUCACUGGUCGAGUCGGCCUGCGCGGAAGAUGUAACGGGGCUAAACCAUGCACCGAAGCUGCGGCAGCGA
Molecule: ribosomal RNA, 617 nt
Filed under: Salmonella enterica
Lineage: Bacteria; Pseudomonadati; Pseudomonadota; Gammaproteobacteria; Enterobacterales; Enterobacteriaceae
Description: partial 23S ribosomal RNA
Source: RNAcentral